RNAcentral lists this ribosomal RNA (305 nucleotides) under uncultured bacterium. RNAcentral's name for it is "bacterial SSU rRNA". It matches the Rfam family "Bacterial small subunit ribosomal RNA", at positions 338 to 660 of the family's 1533-position model. The record is from RNAcentral.
CCUACGGGACGCAGCAGUGGGGAAUAUUGCACAAUGGGGGAAACCCUGAUGCAGCAACGCCGCGUGGGUGAAGGAGCGUUUCGGCGCGUAAAGCCCUGUCAGCGGGGAAGAAGAAAGACGGUACCCGACCAAGAAGCCCUGGCUAACUACGUGCCAGCAGCCGCGGUAAUACGUAGGGGGCGAGCGUUAUCCGGAUUCAUUGGGCGUAAAGCGCGCGUAGGCGGCCGCCUAAGCGGAACCUCUAACCCCGGGGCUCAACCUCGGGCCGGGUUCCGGACUGGGCGGCUCGAGUGCGGUAGAGGAGG